UACUAAUAGCAGCCGCUACAUGUCAUUUAAUUUCUACGUUAAUCAGGCAGCACAAACUGUAUCUCACAAAGCCCGUUCAACUAUUGUCUGCAUUGACCAAAUCAUUGAUGCAAUGUUCUUCAAUAUUCAUAGUACACAACAUCAAGCAUCACUGUUACUAACAAUGAAAAUGUGAACAUGUGAUGUAUGAAGAGAGACCAUUAGCUAACUUAAACUUUCAUGAUUUAUUGCACUAACAAGAACCACGAGAAAUGAGAUACAUUAUUAAACUUAAUCCUGCUCAACCAGCUUCUUCAGCAUUUUUGUUCACUUCACUUCUUCUGGUUUCUCAACAAAAGUCUUCCUCAGCCAGUCCCAUGGCUGCUUAUAUAUGAAAAUAACGUAACACGGUCAGAGGUGUCAUUAGAUACAUAUGCCAUCACAAAAUCAAGUUUACAUAUCCAAACAGUACAUUAAUAAGAACGGACUUGCACAACCCGAAAAGGAAGUCCAGAAGUGCAUAGAAAUAAAAGAAUACCAAAAAGCUAAAUUAGCACUUGCUUCGCUCUCUACUCUCUAAUUAAAGCUUAUACAUGAGAUAUCCAAUUAAAGGACAUCAAAACAUUUAAAUGAAAAAGUUACUUCAACAGAUUCUAUAGAAUUCAUCAAAAGUUUAGGAACCUUCCUUCUUAUUACGUGCUUUACGAACCUCCAAUCUAAUAUCUUAAAACAGCCACAUUCAUCAGUACACAUAUAUUGCACAUAAGAUAAUCUGAAAAUGCAACUUUAAGUUUAUAACACGUCAUAGUUAAAAAAAUGAAACUAAUGUCAUCAUAAAAGCCAGAAGGAAAACCGAUGGACAGGAAAAUAAAUGGACAAAAAACCUGCAACACAAAACGAAGUGACUAACAAAAUGAAUCCCCCAUUUUCUUAAACUAGUAGGUCGGGUGCAAUUAUGACUAUUUUUGGCCAAUGUCACUAAGUUGACUCUUGGCUGAUAGCAAAAGUAGGGAAAAUGGGUACAAAAAAGAGUUAUGGAUUGUUCAGAGUGCAAAAAACUCUGGAUAAAAUUCUUCUCACCUAUUUCCACAUUUGGUGCACCUCUGUAUUAAUUCCUUAUCCAUUCCUAUAGUCUUAAGUUAGAGGCAAGGAGAUCGAUAAUUGAAACUCCCACAGGAAAGACCUAAAAUACAGUCAUUCCCAUAGUUGUGUCCUACUUGCUGUUCCAUACCCGCCCUAACAAGCUCCCACCCCUUCUCUAAGCCUUCCCAGAAAAGACCCUUCUACUAGGCCAUAGAUAAUACAGUGAUAAAUUUGAGGAUGAAUAAUUAGAAGAAAAUUGAUCUCUAGCACCAUCCAUAUGCCGCUUUUACUACCUUGUUUUGCCAUUUCGACUGUCCUCGUCCUGCCAUUGGUGAUGAUUUAGUUUGCUCAAAAGAAAAAAAGUUGAAUCAAUGAAAUUUACAACUAUGUGUGUGUGUGUGUGUGUGUCUGAUAAACUAGUGUCAACUGUAUACUGGAGAGCAAAGUUGACCCCGUGGCAUACCAAAUGCUUUUUUUUUUUUUGGAUAACAAUGGGGUACAUACAAGUUUUGGCGCACUUCAAUUGAUCCUCCAAGUAUUUGCUAGCCUAUUAGCUUC
This 1620-nucleotide long non-coding RNA is filed under the name Nicotiana tabacum (common tobacco). RNAcentral's name for it is "long non-coding RNA (NTAB_LNC006561)". Lineage: Eukaryota; Viridiplantae; Streptophyta; Magnoliopsida; Solanales; Solanaceae. The record is from RNAcentral.